AAAUUAUGACUUGCCAUACAUAGUAAAGUCAUUAACUAUGAUUUAUAAAGUUUUACUUCCUUCCGCAUAACAUUAUAAACAAUUUUUUUGGUACAAUAGAAGGCAAAGUCAAAAAAAAAAAAACUAACAUUCUUAGGUAUUCAACCUCGCAGAUGCAUCAUCGAAUAUGAUGAGGUCGAUGUUGGGUGCGAUCAUGAUUACAUUUAGAUAACCUAAGUAGAGUGGUCCGCUGGUCUAGUGAACUCUUUCUCAAAAGUAGAUUUGAAAUAACAUAAUUCUAAUCACUGAGCAAUUUACUUCGUAUUUUACCGUGCAAGGAGGGUUUCAUGAAUCCAACUUAGAGUCUCACAUCAGACGUCAAGAACCUGGUGUAAUAAGGUCUUCCAUAUGAUUAAAGAAUCCUUCCCAUUGAGUCAUAUAGUUUUAUAGUGGAGUUAGGUUAGUUUGGUUUGAUCACUGAGUGUCAAGACUGAAUGAGGAGAGUGAACCCUAUUAAAAAAAGGUAAGAUUUGUUACCAGUUUCCAUGCGCUAAUAGUGCUUCAUGAUUUCAACUUUAGGAUGUCGUGAGGGGAUUACAUAGGAUAGGACAAUCCUUCCCUUUUGAGUCAUGGUUUUUGAGGUGGAGUUAGUUUCAAUCAAUGUUAAUUGAUAUCAAAUUCAUGAACAGGAAGAAUUCACCCUAUAAAUAAUGAACUGUCAGGGCUUAUAUUUGAUUGGACGAUCCACCCCAUUGUGCCAUAGUUUUGAUUUGGAGUUACGUUCAACUUGUAUCAGUAGGAUUUAUCAGUGUACCACAACAAUAGCCUAUAUUUCAAGGCUAAAGGACUAACAGUGUGUUUGGAUGAGGUAAUUUGAAAAUUUUAAAGAAUUUAAAAUUUUAGGUAAUUUACCUCAAAGUAUUUGAAUUCCUUCAUAACAUUAUAUUUCCUUAAUAUUACAUUACAUCCCCAUAUCCAAACAAUGGAAUUCACCUUAAAGUAUUUGAAUUCCCUCAAAACAUUACAUUUCCUCAAAACAUUUCUCCAUCCAAACACACUCUAAAGGUAUGUCAACCACUCGUAAUUUCCACAAAUAGCGUUAAUAUGUUGACCUCAAAUCCGAUCC
Molecule: long non-coding RNA, 1105 nt
Filed under: Medicago truncatula (barrel medic)
Lineage: Eukaryota; Viridiplantae; Streptophyta; Magnoliopsida; Fabales; Fabaceae
Description: long non-coding RNA (MTRU_LNC007795)
Source: RNAcentral